RNAcentral lists this ribosomal RNA (253 nucleotides) under uncultured bacterium. RNAcentral describes it as "partial 16S ribosomal RNA". It matches the Rfam family "Bacterial small subunit ribosomal RNA", at positions 524 to 776 of the family's 1533-position model. The record is from RNAcentral.
UACAGAGGGUGCAAGCGUUGUUCGGAAUUAUUGGGCGUAAAGGGCGCGUAGGCGGUGCGGUAAGUCUUUUGUGAAAUCUCCGGGCUCAACUCGGAGUCUGCAGGAGAAACUGCCGUGCUGGAGUAUGGGAGAGGUGAGUGGAAUUCCCGGUGUAGCGGUGAAAUGCGUAGAUAUCCAGAGGAACACCAGUGGCGAAGGCGGCGAUCUGGACGAGUACUGACGCUGAGAUGCGAAAGCGUGGGGAGCAAACAGG